GACGAACGCUGGCGGCGUGCCUAAUACAUGCAAGUAGAACGCUGAAGGAGGAGCUUGCUUCUCUGGAUGAGUUGCGAACGGGUGAGUAACGCGUAGGUAACCUGCCUGGUAGCGGGGGAUAACUAUUGGAAACGAUAGCUAAUACCGCAUAAGAGUAGAUGUUGCAUGAUAUUUGCUUAAAAGGUGCAAUUGCAUCACUACCAGAUGGACCUGCGUUGUAUUAGCUAGUUGGUGGGGUAACGGCUCACCAAGGCGACGAUACAUAGCCGACCUGAGAGGGUGAUCGGCCACACUGAGACUGAGACCCGGCCCAGACUCCUACGGGAGGCAGCAGUAGGGAAUCUUCGGCAAUGGACGGAAGUCUGACCGAGCAACGCCGCGUGAGUGAAGAAGGUUUUCGGAUCGUAAAGCUCUGUUGUAAGAGAAGAACGAGUGUGAGAGUGGAAAGUUCACACUGUGACGGUAUCUUACCAGAAAGGGACGGCUAACUACGUG
RNAcentral lists this ribosomal RNA (495 nucleotides) under uncultured bacterium. RNAcentral's name for it is "partial 16S ribosomal RNA". It matches the Rfam family "Bacterial small subunit ribosomal RNA", at positions 28 to 507 of the family's 1533-position model. The record is from RNAcentral.